AUUGAACGCUGGCGGCAGGCAUAACACAUGCAAGUCGAGCGGAGCGGCGGUGGGGUGAGUAAUGCCUAGGAAUCUGCCUGGCCGUGGGGGGUACCAUCCGGAAGGGGGCGCUGAUACCUCAUCCUAGCAGAUGAGUCUAGGUCGGAUUAGCUAGGUGGUGGGGUAUAGGCCUACCAAGGCGACGAUCCGUAACUGGUCUGAGAGGAUGAUCAGUCACACUGGAACUGAGACACGGUCCAGACUCCUACGGGAGGCAGCAGUGGGGAAUAUUGGACAAUGGGCGAAAGCCUGAUCCAGCCAUGCCGCGUGUGUGAAGAAGGUCUUCGGAUUGUAAAGCACUUUAAGUUGGGAGGCGUUACCAACAGAAUAAGCACCGGCUAACUUCGUGCCAGCAGCCGCGGUAAUUC
RNAcentral lists this ribosomal RNA (407 nucleotides) under uncultured bacterium. RNAcentral's name for it is "partial 16S ribosomal RNA". It matches the Rfam family "Bacterial small subunit ribosomal RNA", at positions 30 to 526 of the family's 1533-position model. The record is from RNAcentral.